Long non-coding RNA from Pygocentrus nattereri (red-bellied piranha), 2386 nucleotides. RefSeq lists it as uncharacterized. Lineage: Eukaryota; Metazoa; Chordata; Actinopteri; Characiformes; Serrasalmidae. The record is from RefSeq and is a predicted model, not a curated record. The transcript is spliced from 3 exons.
CGCCUGACGUUUUUUUAUCGACGUCACGAAGCUCUCUGCACAAAACGCUUCUGUCUUUUCUCUGAAACAAAAAGGACUGAUAAUAAAAAUAAUGACAUUUCCAGGCUCCCAUUGUUUUCACAAAGAACUGUCUUCCUUUUUUACAUUUUAAAAAUGUAUGAAAAGAAACUAAAAAUAUUUUUUGCAUCUUACUGAAGAUUUCAAACUUGCAAAAAUAACUAUUUGCUUUGUAUUUUUUAUUUAUUUUUUGUUACUGUUUUCAUGUAAACUGCACAUUCUGCUGCUAGGUCAUUUGCAGGUUUGAUUGUCAGUAAAUGUAAAUAAACUGACUCUCAGUAAAGGCUGUAAAUAAAUCUGACCAUCCCAUUCCAAAACCAAGAGCGUUAAUAUGGAAAUAUGGAGUUGGCCCCAUUGUGGCUACAACAACCUCUCUUAGACGGCUUUCCACAAGAUUUUGGAAUGUGUCUGCGUGACUUUGAAUCCGUUCCAUCAAAAGAGCGCUUGUGAGGCACUGUUUUAUCAGAAGGCCUGGCUCACAAUUGUCAUUCAAAUAUAUCCCAAAGGUGUUCAGUGGGAUUGAGGUCAGGGCACCCUGCAGGUCACUGAAGUUCCUCCACACCAAAUUCAUCAAACUAUGUCUUAAUGCAUAUGACUUUGUGCACAAGGGCACAGUCAUGCUGGAACAGGAAAGGGCCAUCGCCAAACAGCUGCCAGAAAGUUGGAUACAUGUAAUUGUCUAAAAUGUCUUUGUAUGCUGUAUUAACGCUGCCCUUCACUGGAACUAAAUGGGUGAACCCAAACCCAGAAAAACAGCUACAGACCAUUAUACCUCCUCCACCAAACUUUACUGUUGACACUAUGCAUUACUAUUCCGUACUAUCCUUCUGAGACCCUGCCUAUUCAUUUGUGUCCUUUGUGGUGGACACUUUGUUUCUGCAUCUAUCAUUUUAUUCGUUAGAGUUACCCUAAUAAGUCCUGCUGUAUCUUAAAGAGGACAUCCUGGGCUUUCCAGUGAUAUCACAUGUGUUUAAACAAAAUGGCCUCCAUAUCAACAAGCACAUUUUAUGGAAUCAGGAAAGAUUCACACCUGUGCUACCUAGGCCUCCUGAUUAUCAAGAUGACCCUACAGUUCAUGCAGAUUGGAGUCCAAUUCAGUACUUUUCCCAAUACAUUGAUAGUAAGGUUUUUGAAGACUUGGCAACAUUCACCAAUCAAAGGGAGCUGCAGACUACAGGAGUUUCUCUGAACACCAGUCCACAGGAAGUGAAGAUCUUCUUUGGCAUAUCAAUCAGGCAGUUUGUUCCAGGCAAGCCACACCCGACUGGCUUGAAGGUAUUUGUCCUUGCCUCUCCAGAUGGUCUGAUGCUGGACUUUGAAGUAUACAAAGGAAAGAAUACGUUUAAUGACAAAAUAUUGGGUACUGGGGCAGCAGCAGUCCUACGUAUGGUUGAAUCUGUUCCCACAGGAUGUCAGUUGUUCUUUGACCGGUACUUUACAUCAGUCAGUCUCAUGGAUGCUUUGCUGGAAAAAGGCUUUCCUGGCAACUGGAACCAUAAUGAAGAACAGAGUGCUGAAGCCAUGUCUGCUUACUGGUGACAAACAGUUGCAACAAGAAGGGAGAGGAGCAUCAAUGAUGGUGGUCAGAAAUAGUCCUGAGCUGGCUAUCACAAAGUGUUAUGACAACAAGCCAGUGCUAAUGGCCUCUACCAUACUUGGGAAAAAUCCUGAAGAUGUCUGUAGAAGAUGGUCCAACAAAGACAAAGCACACAUCCAAGUGAGAAGACCUGCAGUUAUCAGAGAGUACAAUGACAACAUGGGUGGGGUGGAUUUAUGUGACCGAAUGUUGAGCUUUUACAGAAUGUCAAGCAGGACCAAAAAAUGGACUACAUGAGUGAUAGGUCACUUUUUUGAUGUUGCCAUCACAAACUCCUGGAUCCAGUCCAAGUCUGAUAGCAAAGUCCUGAAUCGACCUGCAAAGGAAACUAAACAGUACUUGGACUUCAAAUUGCACCUGGCUGAAGAGCUGUUGGAUCUUCCAGAACUUGACAACAGUGCAAGUGAAGAGAGUGAAGAAGAGUAUGAGCCACAGAUGAGUCAUCUGUGCGUAAAUAUGGAGCCAUGCACAUGCCAGAGCUGCUACUUGCUAGGCGGGAAUCCUGUAUGCUUUGCUGUGGUGACCAGGGCUUGGGAGCCUCUGUGCCAACCCUUCGGGGUUAAAGGUUGGUGAAUUAGCUGUUAUACAUUAAUUCCAAUAUUUCAGACCAUUUCUUGUUAAAUCUGUGUUAGAACAAUCGGCAGAGCUGUUUUAUUGCAAAAGAGGAAUAUUUUAUUUUUGCCUGAAAAUCUAAUUCUGCUGUGGAUUUGCAACAGAGCAUAAGAGCCAUAU